UGCCUAGCAACUCCUAUCCCUACCUCCACGCGGUACCGGCCGGAAACUAUGAGCAACCUUAGGGAAGAUCGGGUAACCAACCCCGGUGGGAACUUUGGUCGUAGGCUGACAGGGAAGG
This is a non-coding RNA of Aedes albopictus (Asian tiger mosquito), 118 nucleotides long. NCBI's taxonomy places the organism in Eukaryota, Metazoa, Arthropoda, Insecta, Diptera, Culicidae. The record is from Rfam.